AGUCCCGAAUUUGAAGCGUACAAAGUAAAACAGAUUAGUACGAUGUGACUCUAAGACUGCACCUAACCACCUUGGGACAGCUGUGCAAAAUUCCUGCUGACUCCAGAGGCCCAGGAUCAGGUCCAUAAUGACUGAAAGGCAGCGUGGCUCAGUUAACGAUGAAAGACAAUGCUGAUUAUUUUGCUCUGCGACGAAAAAUAGAAAUGACUAAGCUCCGAGCAGGAAAUUAAGGAGAGCGCCCGCCCGCCGCCUCAGAGGCCUGCUCGGGCCGCUCAAUCCGCGCAGGCACCGCGCCACCUGCUGGCGGCUCCGCUGCCGCCGGCCCGGCCCGGCCCGGCCCGGCCCUCUCCGGGCCCCAAACCGGCCCUGCUCCCCCUUCCUCCUCCUCAGAAACGACCGUCAGCGACUGCUUCCCACUGUAUGCCUUCCCACUGAGUGCCUUCCUACUGAAUGCCUUCCCGCACCGUGACAGAGAAAUUCCACAGUGCCUAGAUUCAUGACUGCCUGCUUCAAGACAAAACUACUCCAUGUCCUUGCAAAGUGAGUGGAUGAAGGUCUCUGAUUUCAAAUGACAACAGGCAACAGGGAAGAAAAUCUUGGAUUAUUCUGAAAUCCAAAUUCUCAUCUCAUCAUGGUGGUAUCCUUUUCAAUGGAGAUAUUGGAAUACUUAAGCCAGAUAAAACUAGACAGGAAUUACUUUGUACUUUUUGAACUCAAGUUCAUUUUACACAAGAAAUGAAGAUGAGGUUGAAGUCUGAGAUAACUUUGUAAGAAUUCUUUUAUAGGAUGACAGUAAUAAUAUGCAAUAGGCAGAGUGAUUUCUUUCCUGGAAGAACCAUCCUGCUGGGCUUCCUUCUGGGGAGUCAGCACCCACACAGAAAAACAUACAGAAUCAUAGAAU
Molecule: long non-coding RNA, 901 nt
Filed under: Parus major (Great Tit)
Lineage: Eukaryota; Metazoa; Chordata; Aves; Passeriformes; Paridae
Description: lncRNA (ENSPMJG00000013203.1)
Source: RNAcentral